CCUACGUGAGGCAGCAGUGGGGACUAUUGGGCAAUGGACGCAAGUCUGACCCAGCAACGCCGCGUGAAGGAAGAAGGCUUUCGGGUUGUAAACUUCUUUUAAGGGGGAAGAGCAGAAGACGGUACCCCUUGAAUAAGCCACGGCUAACUACGUGCCAGCAGCCGCGGUAAUACGUAGGUGGCAAGCGUUAUCCGGAUUUAUUGGGUUUAAAGGGUGCGUAGGCGGGCUGUUAAGUCAGCGGUAAAAGCCCGGGGCUCAACCCCGGCGAGCCGUUGAAACUGGCUGUCUUGAGAUGUCGAGAGGUAUGCGGAAUGCGCAGUGUAGCGGUGAAAUGCUUAGAUAUUGCGCAGAACUCCGAUUGCGAAGGCAGCAUACCGGCGGCGAUCUGACGCUGAGGCACGAAAGCGUGGGUAUCGAACAGGAUUAGAUACCCCAGUAGUC
RNAcentral lists this ribosomal RNA (441 nucleotides) under uncultured bacterium. Its description in RNAcentral is "partial 16S ribosomal RNA". It matches the Rfam family "Bacterial small subunit ribosomal RNA", at positions 338 to 795 of the family's 1533-position model. The record is from RNAcentral.